Bubalus bubalis (water buffalo) is the source of this 2086-nucleotide RNA transcript. It is a transcript of the gene named ATP6V1F neighbor, with no coding region annotated. The transcript is spliced from 2 exons. The record is from RefSeq and is a predicted model, not a curated record. Lineage: Eukaryota; Metazoa; Chordata; Mammalia; Artiodactyla; Bovidae.
CUUCUGAAUUAAAGGUAACCGGCUCUGGCAGGGGGAAUGGAAGCAGGCUUGCGUCCAGACCCCUGGUGCCCCCGCUUGAGUCUGUAUUGGCUGGGAGGGGUCGGGACCUCAAGGGAUAGAAGCAGGAACCACAGCAAACCUGGAAGCCAGAGAUACUUAGCUUGAGUCUGGCAAGAGGUUUGGGGGUCAAGGCUCUUAGCCAGUGGGCCCUGGCCUGAGGCUGCCCCAGCAAGCAAGGCAGGUGAAGCGUGCUGAGGGCAUGGCCCUGUGUGAGGUGAGGCACGGUUGCCGAGUGACUGUCCCUGGGCAGCCACCUGCUGUCAGAGGGACUCUGCUUGCUGUGCUCACCCCUUGGUGGCAGGCACCCCGUGCCUGCUCCUUCCUCUGCCACCAUGUCUCGGCAGCUCAGCAUGGACACGGUGCGGCAGAACUUCUGGAAGGAGGAAUACCUGAGGGAGAAGAUGUUGCGCUGCGAGUGGCACCACAAGUAUGGGUCCCUGGUGAAGGCCAAGCAGAAGGCCAAGGCUGCAGCCCACCUGCCGCUCAAGCUGCCAACCCUGCCCCCCAAAGCUCCACUCUCACCCCCGCCCGCCCCCAAAGCAGUUCCUUCCAGGGCCUCCAGCCCCGCCCUGGAGGCUCCUAUUCAGUCAGAAAUGUACCCAGUCCCGCCUGCCACCCGGGCCCUGCUAUACGAAGGCAUCUCCCACGACUUCCAGGGCCGCUACCGCUACCUCAGCACCCGAAAACUGGACAUGCCAGAGAAACGCUACCUCUUCCCCAUCACCACCAACUUCACAUACGGCUGGCAGCUGGGUGAGCCCCAACCUCCCAGAAAUUAUCCACCUCACAGAGAACCUGCCACGAGCCAGGCAGCGCUCUUGGCACUAGACACACGAGACACAUGGACACUCCUUUUGGGGGCAUCCAUUCUAGUGGAGAAACAUAAGAGCAAGAGAGGGCCAAGUUCCAGAAUGAAACGACGUGAUGGGCGAGGAGGCAGGGGCGUGUGGCGCUUUAGGAUGGAUUGUCAGGAAAGGCCUCUCUCAGGACCUAAAGGCCGAGUGAGCUAACUGACGAGGGGGAGGAGUUGGGUUUUAUUCUAAGUUUAAGGGGAAGCCACGGCGAGUUUUAAGCAGGUGAAUGAUACUGAUUUACUUAAAAAAAAAUCACCCUGACUGUUCUGUAGGUUGUGGCCUAUUCGGGGUUAAGAACAAACUCUGGCAGAUGGUUGAGUUAUCCUGGCAAGAAAUGACAGUGGCUUGGACUAGAGUGAUUAGCAGUUGAGCUGAAAUCUAUUCCGGAUGUGAUUUGGAGGAAGACUCAAUGGAACUUAUUGGUGGUUUGAAUGACAGAAGAAGAGAAUGCAAUGGUAACACGCAGGUGUUUGACUGAAGCAGCUACAGCAGGGGAGACUGGGGGGUGGCGGGGGUGGGGGGGUAGGGAGAGUGCGGGGGGUGUGAAGGUCAGCGUUGCUAUGUUGUGCUGGAGGUGUCGGUGAUUUGGCCCUCUGGAGUGAGGUCAGAGCUGAAGGCACAGGUUUGGGGGUUAUCAGAAUAUAGGUGCUCUUUAAAUUAAAGCCUUGAGAGUGGGUGGGCUCACCCAGGUUGCUCCAGAGGCUGGAUCACGCAGGGAGAAGGUGCAGGGUUGGGGGGAACACGGUGAUAUGUAAGGACGUGGUAUUGGCAAGAAGGCUGUCCAUCUGGAUUGACUCAUAGUCGUCAGCUGGGUGGGAGAGGAGCGAAGGCAGUGGUGUAGUUUGAGCUGAAGAGUCAAGGUGUGGGACAGAGAAUAUGCCAGGGAGUGUCCUGGGCUUGCUGCCUGAUGAGAGUUCCUUUGCUGGCUGUGGUCAUGAAUUUCAAGUGAGACUACUCAGUCAGGUGUUUUCUCCAGUUCCUGCACAGAAAAGGCCCCCCAGUGAAGCAAGAACUGGUCUCCUGCAAGAUGUGCCGCAUUGAAUCCUUCUUCCGCAAGAAUGGGGCCUUCUCGCUACUCGAUCCCCGGGAUUUGGCCCUCUGACCUCGAGCAGGGCAGAGGGCUUAGGGGAGGGAAGAAGAAAUAACACACCUCCUGGUGGGGCGAAGCUGCA